AUUAUUAAAACUGAAAAAUUAAUGGAUAAAUAAAUAUUUAUUUAUUUAAUUUAAACAGUCCAUAAAAGUUUUUUUACAAAGCCUAAAUACACAGACCCAACAGCCAAAUUUUACUAGACUAGCCCAGCCUAAACUAAGUCCCAAACAGUUGCAAUGGACCUGUUACAGACUGGUAGCCCAAAACACCUCUACCCAUUACAAACCCAAAAUUUCCAAAGGCCCAAUUGGCCCAAACAUCUGCAGACCUAGGCAGGAAACCCUAGGGUUUCUGCCCUCUUUCUCCUCGCGCCGCAAACAGAAGGUUCCAGAAGCCAAGCCUCAUGACUCUUCAGCUCCUGCUGUUCCAGCUACCCCAUCAAGGCCAUGAUUCCAGGCCCCAAGUCACACUGAGAUCAACGCCACCAGUGGACCAUCG
Molecule: long non-coding RNA, 415 nt
Filed under: Gossypium barbadense (sea-island cotton)
Lineage: Eukaryota; Viridiplantae; Streptophyta; Magnoliopsida; Malvales; Malvaceae
Description: long non-coding RNA (GBAR_LNC007532)
Source: RNAcentral